GACGAACGCUGGCGGCGUGCUUAACACAUGCAAGUCGAACGGAAAGGCCCUGCUGUUGUGGGGUGCUCGAGUGGCGAACGGGUGAGUAACACGUGAGUAACCUGCCCUUGACUUUGGGAUAACUUCAAGAAACUGGGGCUAAUACCGGAUAGGAGCUCCUGCUGCAUGGUGGGGGUUGGAAAUUUUCGGCGGUUGGGGAUGGACUCGCGGCUUAUCAGCUUGUUGGUGGGGUAGUGGCUUACCAAGGCUUUGACGGGUAGCCGGCCUGAGAGGGUGACCGGCCACAUUGGGACUGAGAUACGGCCCAGACUCCUACGGGAGGCAGCAGUGGGGAAUAUUGCACAAUGGGCGGAAGCCUGAUGCAGCAACGCCGCGUGCGGGAUGACGGCCUUCGGGUUGUAAACCGCUUUCGCCUGUGACGAAGCGUGAGUGACGGUAAUGGGUAAAGAAGCACCGGCUAACUACGUG
RNAcentral lists this ribosomal RNA (468 nucleotides) under uncultured bacterium. RNAcentral describes it as "partial 16S ribosomal RNA". It matches the Rfam family "Bacterial small subunit ribosomal RNA", at positions 28 to 507 of the family's 1533-position model. The record is from RNAcentral.